This 115-nucleotide transfer RNA is filed under the name Clostridiales bacterium. RNAcentral describes it as "tRNA-OTHER". It matches the Rfam family "tRNA". Rfam says of the family: Transfer RNA (tRNA) molecules are approximately 80 nucleotides in length. Their secondary structure includes four short double-helical elements and three loops (D, anti-codon, and T loops). Lineage: Bacteria; Bacillati; Bacillota; Clostridia; Eubacteriales. The record is from RNAcentral.
GGGAGCGUAGCUCAGUGGGUAGAGCACGAAAAUGGGGGUUAGACAUAAUCCCUAACAGCAACUUUUUAUGAGCAUUAGAGGCCCGGUGUCGCAGGUUCGAAUCCUGCCGCUCCCA